RNAcentral lists this ribosomal RNA (843 nucleotides) under uncultured bacterium. Its description in RNAcentral is "bacterial SSU rRNA". It matches the Rfam family "Bacterial small subunit ribosomal RNA", at positions 8 to 811 of the family's 1533-position model. The record is from RNAcentral.
AGAGUUUGAUCCUGGCUCAGGACGAACGCUGGCGGCGUGCCUAAUACAUGCAAGUCGAGCGAGCUUGCCUAGAUGAUUUUAGUGCUUGCACUAAAUGAAACUAGAUACAAGCGAGCGGCGGACGGGUGAGCAACACGUGGGUAACCUGCCCAAGAGACUGGGAUAACACCUGGAAACAGAUGCUAACACCGGAUAACAACACUAGACGCAUGUCUAGAGUUUGGAAGAUGGUUCUGCUAUCACUCUUGGAUGGACCUGCGGUGCAUUAGCUAGUUGGUAAGGUUACGGCUUACCAAGGCAAUGAUGCAUAGCCGAGUUGAGAGACUGAUCGGCCACAUUGGGACUGAGACACGGCCCAAACUCCUACGGGAGGCAGCAGUAGGGAAUCUUCCACAAUGGACGAAAGUCUGAUGGAGCAACGCCGCGUGAGUGAAGAAGGGUUUCGGCUCGUAAAGCUCUGUUGGUAGUGAAGAAAGAUAGAGGUAGUAACUGGCCUUUAUUUGACGGUAAUUACUUAGAAAGUCACGGCUAACUACGUGCCAGCAGCCGCGGUAAUACGUAGGUGGCAAGCGUUGUCCGGAUUUAUUGGGCGUAAAGCGAGUGCAGGCGGUUCAAUAAGUCUGAUGUGAAAGCCUUCGGCUCAACCGGAGAAUUGCAUCAGAAACUGUUGAACUUGAGUGCAGAAGAGGAGAGUGGAACUCCAUGUGUAGCGGUGGAAUGCGUAGAUAUAUGGAAGAACACCAGUGGCGAAGGCGGCUCUCUGGUCUGCAACUGACGCUGAGGCUCGAAAGCAUGGGUAGCGAACAGGAUUAGAUACCCUGGUAGUCCAUGCCGUAAACGAUG